CGUACACUCCUGCGGGAGGCAGCAGUGGGGAAUAUUGCACAAUGGGCGCAAGCCUGAUGCAGCCAUGCCGCGUGUAUGAAGAAGGCCUUCGGGUUGUAAAGUACUUUCAGCGGGGAGGAAGGCGAUAAGGUUAAUAACCUUGUCGAUUGACGUUACCCGCAGAAGAAGCACCGGCUAACUCCGUGCCAGCAGCCGCGGUAAUACGGAGGGUGCAAGCGUUAAUCGGAAUUACUGGGCGUAAAGCGCACGCAGGCGGUCUGUCAAGUCGGAUGUGAAAUCCCCGGGCUCAACCUGGGAACUGCAUUCGAAACUGGCAGGCUAGAGUCUUGUAGAGGGGGGUAGAAUUCCAGGUGUAGCGGUGAAAUGCGUAGAGAUCUGGAGGAAUACCGGUGGCGAAGGCGGCCCCCUGGACAAAGACUGACGCUCAGGUGCGAAAGCGUGGGGAGCAAACAGGAUUAGAUACCCCGGUAGUCCCA
This 476-nucleotide ribosomal RNA is filed under the name uncultured organism. RNAcentral describes it as "partial 16S ribosomal RNA". It matches the Rfam family "Bacterial small subunit ribosomal RNA", at positions 330 to 797 of the family's 1533-position model. The record is from RNAcentral.